This 1570-nucleotide long non-coding RNA is filed under the name Oryza sativa (Asian cultivated rice). RNAcentral describes it as "long non-coding RNA (OSAT_LNC000021)". The record is from RNAcentral. Lineage: Eukaryota; Viridiplantae; Streptophyta; Magnoliopsida; Poales; Poaceae.
UGCUGGGGGCAGCUAAAACCAACACACGAAACCCCGCGCAUCAUUUUAAAACAAGCCACCCCUCCCACCAACCCCCGCACCCUCUUUUCUUCUCCUCUACGCCCUUCUCUCCGGCCAUUCUCCGGCGCCAUCACCGUCGCCUCCCUCCACGACGAAGCCGCCUUUGCCGAGGUCCACCUCUGCAUCGGUCAACUUCGAGGCCCGGGCCACUGGCCAGAUCUAGCGAUCCCGGGCUCUCCGCGGCGGGACUCAAGACCUCCAGAUCUGACGUCGGUGAUGCUCGGGACCGCCUGAUCUGGGGGAGGGGGUGGUGGCGACAGUCCUUGGCUUCGGCGAGAGCUCUGGCAACGAUAAAGUGGCGGCUGCGUCCGGCGGCCUACAGGCUCCCGCCAGCCGCACGCGCCCAGCUGUGGCGCCCGGCGGCGCAGCUGUCUUCGUGCGCCGCGCCGGCGCCCGCGCAGCCGCGUCCUCUCCGUGACUCCGCGUCUCCGGCUCUCCUCCCCUGGCCGCGCCCUCUCCGUCCCGCGUCCGGCUGUCGCCUACUCGCCCGGCAGCCUCCCGGGCUCCUGGCGUCCCGCCCGACGCCGCCAGCACCCAGCCGCCUAGGCCAGCAGGCCCCAUCCACCGUCCGCCCGUCCGGCCAAUGCUAGUGCGCCACAGCGCCAGUGCAUCACUCCCUCUUCGGAUCUAAACACAUGCAUCCCUCUAAUUAUAGAUGUAAGCACGCAAAUCCAUCAUUUAAAUUUGUAGGCAUAUUCUCACAUGUGUACUAAUUGUUCCAUCAAAUUGUUCGUCCAACAAACUAAUAUAAUUCCCUGGUGAAUUGUCCUUUCUUGCUCAUCUAUCUACUAAUGCAGCAAAAAAUUUGCUUGAGUUCAGAUGGUGUUUUUUAUUUUGGAAAUUGGAACUGUAUCGGACAUUUAGUCAACCUAGUUAUUUUUGUUGGGCAUCAGGCCAUCAGCUCAACCGGAUUGACAUGGUGACAUGUGCAUGUUGCUUAGAAACAGAAUUCUAAACCUUAGGUGCUCACAUAUAGAAUUAGGCAGCUGCAUGUGCUUAGAUGAAAAAAUUUUGGAAAGUUGCACCUUGUGAUCUACCAAUUCCACAUAUGGAUGAAGGGUCAUCUGUUCCUGUUGUAGAUGAUGCUCCAAUUGAUGAAGACACCGUUGUUGAAGAAGGGUCAUGUGAAGAACAAGGACCACCUCCACCUCCAGAUGUUGUUGCUCAUUUAGGUAAGAUUCAAACUUAUUUGUCAUUUUGUACUUGUACUGAACCAUUUAGAGUUAUAUACCGUAUCGUUUACCACAUUUUAUAUCGAAUCAUAUUGUAUUGCAUUCGGUUUUUUUGCUAGGCCUACCCUGAGUUCAAGUCCUGGGUCCGCCACUGCUCAGAUGCCCGACCUGCACGGCUGCACGUAUACGACAUGUAUACCGACAUGUAUAGUUCUAGAACCAUAUUAUACUAAAUAAUUGUGUACCCAAUACAUAUAAGCAUCAUCUCUCUAAUUAAUGGCAAUAUGCAACAAUAAAGUGCAUGGAAAAAAAUGCGUACCAUAAUGAAAGAUACCAAC